UAAUAGGCAUGUCAAUGAGGUCAGUGUCAGAUAACAUUUGAUAAUCUCGAUACUGCACCAGUUAAAUUAUUAUUAUCAAGUCGAGCAGCUCGUUGAAACAUUUGUCUGGCAUGGUGUGGUUUGCCCAUUAAGCGGUACGCUAUGCCACAAAAUAUUGGUAAACACAGUAAAUCAUAUGAUUGAAGUGUAAUGCCUCUAGUUAUUGAUUCAAGCUGUUGUAAAGAAUUUCUACAUGAUGUUAUGUCGUGUAGAUGGUAGUAACAUAAAAAGUUAAGGAAAUGUCCAAAUGCUAAAGGAUAAUAGAUAUGUAUUACGUGUGUAGCUGUCAUUUGUAAUUCUACUGGAAUUAAAUAUGAGUUCGAUUUAAAAUGAACAGGAUUAAUUGAUAAUGC
Molecule: long non-coding RNA, 392 nt
Filed under: Mytilus galloprovincialis (Mediterranean mussel)
Lineage: Eukaryota; Metazoa; Mollusca; Bivalvia; Mytilida; Mytilidae
Source: RNAcentral